AAUCAAUUGGCUGUUCUAACGGUAGUCCUUUGGUUUGGGAAUACAAGGCCUCGAGUGAAGGAAGCUGUGAAGUGAAGCAGAAAUGUGGAAAAUGGAAUCCACUGCUGUGGAAGGCUUCACUUGAGAUUUUUGAAGCUAAACAGUCUGGGAAAUGGUGGCAGAUGCGGGUAGCAUAUUGCAGAGAUUGAACCGCACAACCAACGGCACCGUGUAACUUGGACCAAAGCGAGGAAAAUCACAGGCUCCAAAAUAGCUUCAGUGCAAUGGAGGAAAAUGUGAAGUAAUGUGUUGUGGUGGAGAGCAGUUAAACUUGUCUCACAAACUAAUGAGUUCAGGACGCUCAAGGAAACAAAUCUCCAGCCUAAUUCAGCAGCAGCUGAGGCAAGAAGGGACAGCGUUCCCUUAAAGGCAGUAUGAAGGAGCCCAUGGACUUUCCUGGAAGGCUUAAGUUGGAUGGCCCCGGAAGGGUCACUCUUGCAGCCACCACAGCGGAAGAAUAAAUGUGAUGCCUGGGCAGAAUCAGCCACCAAGUCUGGUCUUGCUUCCUCCCACAUUCUCAACAUUCCUCUCUCCCUUCCCACCACCGCCUUGCUGAACCAGCUGCUCAGCACCUCCUGCCUGCUGCUAGAUCAAGCCUGCAUCUGCUGACAAGGGCCGCUCCUGCUCAGAAACCUCCAGGAGGUCCCCACUUCCCACAGAACGGACUUCCAAUUCCUCAACCUGCGCACUGAUCAACUUCGCAUAGCUGUCGGGUCUUCCGGUCUGUUUCCUCGUCGCGCUGUAUGACGUCAUGAGCUUCUCCGGAAGAGGAUGGCGUCUCUUUGAUCCUUGUGGCCUCACCUGCUCUAUGUAAUAGCUUCUCAUUAAUGUGUGUUGAAUCCUUGCUGCUAAUUCGCAUCCUUCAGGGGAAAAGACAUGAGGCUGCAUUUCAGCUCUACCUCUUGCUAGCUUUGUGCUCUUGUGUCAGCUGCCUGGUGGCUCUGAGCCCCAUUUUCCUUACAGAUUUCUGUUAGUGCCUGGCACCACGCCUUAACACAGAGGAAAUAUCCAUGACAUAUUUGUGAAAUGGGUAGGAACAAGUGAGUUAUUUCAUGAAUGAAUGGAGUACUUGGUAGCCAGAGUAAGGAAGUACUUCAAGAAUGAGAAAACAGGGAUCGUCAGCGAAGAGGCAUGCAGUAAAUAACCCUCCCUCACUUGAAGUGAAGACAGCCUACAGGGGAGAACUGGCUCUGUUAAAGACUCCAAGCCACAAAGGUCGUUUCCUCUGGAGAUGAUGAACAUGAGCUAGAAAGAGAGGGAACAGCCACCUACGUGGUGCAGCUGCUUCCCCUAAAACACCAAAAAUCAGGCUCCAACUCCCUUACUCUCCAAUUAAAAGUGAGUGGAACUCAUAAAUGGCAUCUCUUGCCAUAUACCUGUGAUUUAUCUUAUUGUUUUCAUACUCUUAUUUAUUAAAAGUCUGCUGUAUGCCCAA
Chinchilla lanigera (long-tailed chinchilla) is the source of this 1474-nucleotide long non-coding RNA. RefSeq lists it as uncharacterized. The transcript is spliced from 3 exons. NCBI's taxonomy places the organism in Eukaryota, Metazoa, Chordata, Mammalia, Rodentia, Chinchillidae. The record is from RefSeq and is a predicted model, not a curated record.